This is a non-coding RNA of Pelobates cultripes (western spadefoot toad), 766 nucleotides long. Lineage: Eukaryota; Metazoa; Chordata; Amphibia; Anura; Pelobatidae. The record is from the annotation of a GenBank genome assembly.
CUUAAAAAUAAUUCUAAAAUAAAACUAUUAAAAUCACAAUGAGUUUCCCCAGUUAGUCUUUAUCAAGUGACAGUAUAAAUCAAUAAUGUCUAUACUGUCAUUUGAAAAAAAAAACCUAACCUAAACCUAACUGGUAAAUACAUUAUAUUGCUUCAGUAUGGACCAUGGGGCAAUUUGGAGAUAAAUGUGCUUGUGUUAUUUAUCAUGAUUACUAAAAGGCUAGUUUUAUUAUACAUGUGAUCUACACUACUAUGAUACAAUGUUUAACAGUAAAAUGAAAAAAUACAAAAGCAUUUGCAUUUUUGUCGAACAAACCAUUCAUAGUUUGACUUUUUUUUAUUCUUUCAUUUUGCCAUCCAUGGAUAAUACAAAACAGCAUUCUCUGUACUGUUGUGCAGCAUAAAUCUUAAUAAACAGGUCAUGCGAGAGCAGUAAAGUGGGCUUAAACUGCUCAUUUUCUAAUUAGAGAGUUCAAGAGAAAAGAAAAACACAGUUCAAGUGAUGUAUGGCAUGAAGUAUUAUGGAAUGUAGGUUAUCUGUACUAUGACAAAAUUAGUUAUAAAUAACAUGAAAAUAAAUUGCAAAGUGUAUCUGGUUAAUAACUAAAAGGAUCGUAGCAGAGUGGAGCAUAACUGGUAGCUAAUGAUAGUGCCACAGGGUACCAACAGUAAAGAAGUAGGCGAUUUAACAUAUAAAAUCUGUGUUAAAAAGUCCUCAAUAAAAGUCCUUUAAAAAUGGCCAAUACGCGUUUCACUCUCAAAUAGAG